CUACGGGUCGCAGCAGUGAGGAAUAUUGCACAAUGGGGGGAACCCUGAUGCAGCAACGCCGCGUGGAGGAUGACGCAUUUCGGUGUGUAAACUCCUUUUAUAUGUCAAGAAAAUGACGGUAGCAUAUGAAUAAGCACCGGCUAACUCCGUGCCAGCAGCCGCGGUAAUAAGGAGGGUGCAAGCGUUACUCGGAAUCACUGGGCGUAAAGGACGCGUAGGCGGGUUGGAAAGUCAGGUGUGAAAUCCUACAGCUUAACUGUAGAACUGCACUUGAAACUUCUAAUCUAGAGUAUGGGAGGGGGAGAUUGAAUUAGUGGUGUAGGGGUAAAAUCCGUAGAUAUCACUAGGAAUACCUAAAGCGAAGGCGAUCUCCUGGAACAUUACUGACGCUAAGGCGUGAAAGCGUGGGGAGCAAACAGGAUAGAUACCCGCGUAGUC
Molecule: ribosomal RNA, 438 nt
Filed under: uncultured bacterium
Lineage: Bacteria
Description: partial 16S ribosomal RNA
Rfam family: Bacterial small subunit ribosomal RNA
Source: RNAcentral